Molecule: unclassified non-coding RNA, 339 nt
Filed under: soil metagenome
Description: partial contains 5.8S ribosomal RNA, internal transcribed spacer 2, and large subunit ribosomal RNA
Rfam family: 5.8S ribosomal RNA (bases 1-120)
Source: RNAcentral
GAUGAAGAACGCAGCGAAAUGCGAUACGUAGUGUGAAUUGCAGAAUUCAGUGAAUCAUCGAAUCUUUGAACGCACAUUGCACCUCUCGGUAUUCCGGGAGGUAUGCCUGUUCGAGCGUCAUUAGUACCCUCAAGCUCUGCUUGGUGUUGGGUGUUUGUUCCGCCUCUGUGUGUGAACUCGCCUCAAAACAAUUGGCAGCCGGCGUACUUGUUUCGGAGCGCAGCACAUUUUGCGAUCCAGAUCAACGUACAGCGGCAUCCAAGAAGCCUUAUUUAACGCUCUUGACCUCGGAUCAGGUAGGGAUACCCGCUGAACUUAAGCAUAUCAAUAAGCGGAGGA